Molecule: ribosomal RNA, 576 nt
Filed under: Alternaria sp. XN-3-1
Lineage: Eukaryota; Fungi; Ascomycota; Dothideomycetes; Pleosporales; Pleosporaceae
Description: eukaryotic LSU rRNA
Rfam family: 5.8S ribosomal RNA (bases 199-352)
Source: RNAcentral
CUUCCGUAGGGGGAACCUGCGGAGGGAUCAUUACACAAAUAUGAAGGCGGGCUGGAACCUCUCGGGGUUACAGCCUUGCUGAAUUAUUCACCCUUGUCUUUUGCGUACUUCUUGUUUCCUUGGUGGGUUCGCCCACCACUAGGACAAACAUAAACCUUUUGUAAUUGCAAUCAGCGUCAGUAACAAAUUAAUAAUUACAACUUUCAACAACGGAUCUCUUGGUUCUGGCAUCGAUGAAGAACGCAGCGAAAUGCGAUAAGUAGUGUGAAUUGCAGAAUUCAGUGAAUCAUCGAAUCUUUGAACGCACAUUGCGCCCUUUGGUAUUCCAAAGGGCAUGCCUGUUCGAGCGUCAUUUGUACCCUCAAGCUUUGCUUGGUGUUGGGCGUCUUGUCUCUAGCUUUGCUGGAGACUCGCCUUAAAGUAAUUGGCAGCCGGCCUACUGGUUUCGGAGCGCAGCACAAGUCGCACUCUCUAUCAGCAAAGGUCUAGCAUCCAUUAAGCCUUUUUUUCAACUUUUGACCUCGGAUCAGGUAGGGAUACCCGCUGAACUUAAGCAUAUCAAUAAGGCCGGAGGAA